RNAcentral lists this ribosomal RNA (465 nucleotides) under uncultured bacterium. Its description in RNAcentral is "partial 16S ribosomal RNA". It matches the Rfam family "Bacterial small subunit ribosomal RNA", at positions 28 to 507 of the family's 1533-position model. The record is from RNAcentral.
GACGAACGCUGGCGGCGUGCUUAACACAUGCAAGUCGAACGGAAAGGCCCUGCUUGCUGGGUACUCUAGUGGUGAACGGGUGAGUAACACGUGGGGGAUCUGCCCUGCACAUCGGGAUAUGCCUGGGAAACUGGGUCUAAUAACGGGUAGGUGCUAUCCUUAGUGUGAUGGGUGGAAAGUGUUGUAGGUGUAGGAGGAGCUCGCGGCGUAACGGCUUGUUGGUGGGGUAAUGGCUUACCAAGGCGGCGGCGGGUAGCUGGCCUGGGAGGGUGGACGGCCACAUUGGGACUGAGGGGCGGCCCAGGCUCCGAAUGGUGGGAGAAGGGGGGAAGCUUGCACAAGGGGCGCAAGCUUAGUGCAGAGACGCCGCGUGGGGGAUGACGGCCUUCGGGUUGUAAACUCCUUUUGCUAGGGACGGAGCUUUUUAUGACGGUACCUGGAGAAGAAGCACCGGCUAACUACGUG